GGUUCAGUGCUGUCAGGGAGAUCAGUCGGUCAACAAAUGCCCCCUGGCACCCGCAUGGGCUGUGACCAGUGCUAGAUGAUGCUGGGACUCCAGAGAGAGCCAUAACUAUGACGAGGGACCUGUAGGCUAGCAGAGAGACAGAGGCAGAUUCUAGUUCACUCUGCGUGGGUCAAGGCUUGGGAGCAACUGGGGCUGGGGCACUUAGACACAGUCACAUGGAUCAGAGAAGGGGCACUGCAGCUGGGGUCAUGAUAGAUAUGUAGGAGCUGGCCAGGAGGGGACCAUGUGUUUUCUGAUAGUGGCAGAAGCUCCUUCCUUGUGCACAAGGAGACAGAGCCCUGGGGCAGCAGAAGGCCCCUGGGAUUAUUGUCCCUGGAGUAGUAGCCCUGGUAUUUGGAUCAGAUUCCCCUGAGUUUGAAUUUCUGUCUUCACUCUCUCACACGGCUUCUCUGACCUCAGUUUCCUGAUCUGUAGAACAGAUGACCAGAGCAGAUGAGGCCUUGGUCUUACUGAAUUCAAAGCCAAGUGGGGACAGGGACACUAGCCAGAGAAAUACGUGAGGUAAAUCAAGUGUGGCUGCUGGGUGGGGUGGCACAUGCCUGUCAUCCCAGCACCCAGGAGGCUGAGGCAGGAGGAUUAGCCUGAGUUGGAGGCCAGCCUAGGUGACAAAGCAAGACCCUGUUUCAAGAAACAAACAAACAAUCAAGUGUGGCACGCCUCAUGGAGACAGUAAUUCCAAAGGUGCCGCUGAGAGGGGCCGGCUGUUAGCAGACGGCGUCAGAGGCGGCGUCUCUGAGGAGGUGACAUUUGAGUUGAGAUCUGGAAGAUGACGUGGAACAGCCGAGCAGGUAUGCUGAGGAGCAGCAGUCUCCACAGAGCAUGGCCGUGCAAAGGCCUCGGGCAGCGUGGAGCCCGCAUGGUACCGGUGCAACUAGGAGGCCGUGGAGCCGAGGGAGAGAGAGGCAGAUAGAGCAGGGGAGGCGAGGAGGGGACGGGCGGCCCUGCGGGCUGCAGGGGGACCAGGGCUUUGGCCCAGGGAGGUGGGAGCCGCGGAGGGCUGAGGGAAGCGGAGGGAGGGACCGCACUCGGUGCUCACGGCGCCCCCUGGUGGCCGCUGCGGGGAGGACAGGUGGCGCGGAGCCGGGGACCAGGUGCAGGGGCUGCGCUGGUCCAGGCUGUCGCACUGUGUGGACAGAUGGCUGUCGCGAGCACGCGAUGAAAAUGUCACUAAGAGACGGCAUCGGCGUUUGCAUUUCGGCUGCACCAGAAUGUGCUGUGUGACCGCGGCCGAGUGGCCUGAUCCCUCUGACGUCCAGUUUUUCCGUCUGCACAAUGAGAGGGAAGGUGCUGGCCUCUGAGAGCUGGUGCAGGCGUAAAGUGAGUUCACAGUGGGGAAGAGCCCUGCCCAGCACUAACCCCGCGCUUCCCGCACGCUGAGCCGGCGGCAUUGGCACCCAGUAGGCGCUUGGAAGCCUGCAGUGAACACAUCCUCACCGUUGUUUUUUAUUUACUUAGUUUUGGUUUUCUGAGAUGGGCUCGCUGUGUAGUCCAGGCUGGCUCUGAACUAAUAGCGAGCGAUCUGCCUGCCUCAGCCUCUCAAGUGCUGGGAUCACAGGCGGGUGCCACUGUUUAUAAAUAUGGG
Long non-coding RNA from Chinchilla lanigera (long-tailed chinchilla), 1642 nucleotides. Lineage: Eukaryota; Metazoa; Chordata; Mammalia; Rodentia; Chinchillidae. The record is from Ensembl.